Molecule: long non-coding RNA, 1133 nt
Organism: Clupea harengus (Atlantic herring)
Lineage: Eukaryota; Metazoa; Chordata; Actinopteri; Clupeiformes; Clupeidae
Source: Ensembl
AGGAGGUUCAGGCCUGUCUACUCUCACUCUAUGAGUGUUCCAGAGCUGAACUACGGAGCUCGCUUCAGUCCCUUUGAACCGCCCGCAAGCCACGCCCACAAAGCCAAACACACACCUCAAGAACCACCUGUGCCUCAAGCACAGAACAGAGAUGGGAGUCCCUGUGGCAGUGCAGACCUGGCGCCCCCCCCCACUGCGCCCCCCCUCCGCAGGAAGAGCUCAGGCUACUGUGAGUGCUGCCAGAUGGCCUUCACCGACAUGGAGCAGCAUGUGAAGUGUGAGCAGCAUCUGCGUUUCGCAGAGCACUCUGCUAACUAUGCCGUUCUGGACCAGCUGAUUGGCUCCCUGGAGUGCCUGUUCCUCUUUAGCACCGCCCACUCCCAAGACUUCCAGCUAUCCUCCAGCUCCUCUCAGUGUAUCUUGGUGACUUCGGACCUUGAGCUCAAGAUGUCGGGCCAAAUCAACCAGGACGCUCUGACGCACAGCCACACACACACACACACACACACACACAGCCCAGAGAAGCUGGCAGUCACACACACCCUUUCACACGCACAGAACUCUCAGGUGCAGACACAUACACACACCCUCACACACACACACAGACCAGAAAACUCCACACAACAGACCAUCCCCUAUCCAGACACCCCCACCCUGAGUGACACAGCCAACCCCCCCACACUGAACCCCCCCACACUGAACCCCCCCACACUGAACCCCCCCACUCUGAACCCCCCCACUCUGAGUGACACACCCACACUGAACCCCGAGCACAGUGAGGAGGAGGAGAGGAAGAUGAAGCCCCUCCCCUCCCAGAGCCACACCCCUGUGGUACCGCACACCAACCCAUCAGACCCCUCCCACCUGUGUAAGUCCCUCCCCUCCCAGGGCCCUAGCCACACCCCUCCUGCACAUCAUGACAACCCAUCAGACCACUCCCACAUCCUUAUGCCCCUCCCCUCCCAGGGCCCUAGCCACACCCCUCCUGCACAUCAUGACACCCCAUCAGACCCCUCCCACCUGUGUAUGCCCCUCCCCUCCCAGGGCCCGAGCCACACCCCUCCUGCACAUCAUGACAACCCAUCAGACCACUCCCACAUCCUUAUGCCCCUCCCCUCUGUCACAUUCAGCCC